GAUCAAAAUCGGAGGCGGCGACUCUGGACGCGUGUCGGGCCCUUCUCGCGGAUCACCUCAGCUACGGCGCC
RNAcentral lists this ribosomal RNA (71 nucleotides) under Limanda limanda (common dab). The record is from RNAcentral. Lineage: Eukaryota; Metazoa; Chordata; Actinopteri; Pleuronectiformes; Pleuronectidae.